CCCUUAGAUGUUCUGGGCCGCACGCGCGCUACACUGAUGCAUUCAACGAGUCUAAAACCUGGUCUGAUAGGGCUGGGUAAUCUUUUGAAAGUGCAUCGUGAUUGGGAUAGAUGAUUGCAAUUCUUCAUCUUCAACGAGGAAUACCUAGUAAACGCAAGUCAUCAGCUUGCAUUGAUUACGUCCCUGCCCUUUGUACACACCGCCCGUCGCUCCUACCGAUUGAAUGAUCCGAUGAAUACCAUGGAUUGAGAGUACGAAUGGGUUCGCUCAUUUCUGCUGCUCGAGAAGUGGAGUAAAUCUUAUCAUUUAGAGGAAGGAGAAGUCGUAACA
RNAcentral lists this ribosomal RNA (330 nucleotides) under uncultured eukaryote. Its description in RNAcentral is "partial 18S ribosomal RNA". It matches the Rfam family "Eukaryotic small subunit ribosomal RNA", at positions 1470 to 1796 of the family's 1831-position model. The record is from RNAcentral.